GACGAACGCUGGCGGCGUGCUUAACACAUGCAAGUCGAACGGAAAGGCCCUGCUUUUGUGGGGUGCUCGAGUGGCGAACGGGUGAGUAACACGUGAGUAACCUGCCCUUGACUUUGGGAUAACUUCAGGAAACUGGGGCUAAUACCGGAUAGGAGCUCCUGCUGCAUGGUGGGGGUUGGAAAGUUUCGCCGGUUGGGGAUGGACUCGCGGCUUAUCAGCUUGUUGGUUGGGUAGUGGCUUACCAAGGCUUUGACCGGUAGCCGGCCUGGGAGGGUGACCGGACACACUGCGACGGAGAUACGACACAGACUCGUAUGCGAGGCAACGGAGGAGAGUAUUGUACAGGGGGAGGGAGGCUGAUGUGACAACGCCGCGUGCGGGAAGACGUGCUGCGGGUUGUGAACUGAAUUCGCCUUAGACGAAGCGUGAGUGACGGUACUGGGUAAAUAAGCACCGGCUAACUACGUG
This 468-nucleotide ribosomal RNA is filed under the name uncultured bacterium. RNAcentral's name for it is "partial 16S ribosomal RNA". It matches the Rfam family "Bacterial small subunit ribosomal RNA", at positions 28 to 507 of the family's 1533-position model. The record is from RNAcentral.